Molecule: ribosomal RNA, 116 nt
Filed under: Spirochaetaceae bacterium
Lineage: Bacteria; Pseudomonadati; Spirochaetota; Spirochaetia; Spirochaetales; Spirochaetaceae
Source: RNAcentral
CCUGGUGAUUAUGGUGGAGGUGCCAUACCCGAUCCCUUUCCGAACUCGGAAGUCAAGCCCUCUAACGUCAAUGGUACUGCGCCUCUAAGACGCGGGAGAGUAGAUAGUUGCCAGGC